Molecule: non-coding RNA, 3110 nt
Organism: Camellia sinensis
Lineage: Eukaryota; Viridiplantae; Streptophyta; Magnoliopsida; Ericales; Theaceae
Source: RefSeq, a predicted model, not a curated record
GUUAGGUUUAGUGGAGUAGGUGAGGUGGUAGUGGUGGUAGGUUUAUUGAUAAAUUUUAACACUCACUAUAUUCUCAAUUAAACUAUCAGUGAAGUAUACAUGUAUAUAACUACAUCUAUCUUUUGGUUAAAUAGAUUAAGAUGAUGAAUCUUAUUUUGAAAUGUUGUCCUAUGUUGUGAUGUUUCUUUCUUUCUCCAAUUUAUCCUGGAAAAUUUUUGAACAAUUAGGAAUAAAUUAUUUCUUCAACAUGAGUACCUGCUUCCUAUCUUACAUGGACUCUUCAAAAUAAAUCAAAUACACGUGCCAGACACCCAACACUUGGGUAUAUUUCUAUUUAACACUAUCAUUAUAUGUAUAUUGUAUAAUUGCUAUAAAAUGAAGAAAUACCUUUUUGAUGUUGUAUGUAACAUAUAACACCAUUUUAUCUUAUCUAAUAGAUUAAAAAUAUAAAAGUAUCACCCUUUUUUGGCAAGUCCACGUACCCUUAAAUUUGAGAUUUGAUAGGUCCGAUCUCUAGAUACACACCUGCACCGACAUCUGUACCCGAGUCCAUGUAACAUAUACCUCCACCCCUCUCUUUAAAGCAAUCCAGUGCUAUUUAGGGAGCUUAUAGUUGAUAUAGAGAGCUAUGAUGAAUGAGUCAAGACAGGCCACACAUAUUUAAUGGGAGUGGUGUAACCACAAGACCCUAUGUUGUUGUUCGCAGAACCAUUUAAGGCGUAUGAUUAUUCAAUGCCGCCUAAGUUUGUAUGUAUAACUUACCUUCAUACAAUCUCUUCUUUGAACAAUUGCUUAUUGUAGACUACAUCAGCUGCACAUGGUUGAGCUUUCACAUUGUAACUUAAAUGCCGUUCUUUCUUUAAGUAGCCACUAAUGGUUUUAUUGGGGAACUUUGUAGCUGCUUUUAGAAUCUUGCUUCAAGGAUAUGGUAGAAAAGAGGAAAGUUUGUGUUUCCAAAUAAAUGAGCCAUCUUUUGUGAGACUGACGUAACACAAAGACUACAUGGUUCUUGUGUCCCAUACAAGUACGUGAAUCCUACUAUGUUUUGCAGGGAUAUGUGGAUUUUGGCAGAUUUGACAAGUUCAACUUUUUCGUUGCUGGUUCAGGUCAUGUUAAUUUUGUUCAGGACUUUUACAAUGGUGAUUUGAUAAAUUGUGAGCGUAGUUAUGACAAAAUGGGACGUACAGCUCCGGUAAAUAUCAUUUGUGGGACUUGUCCAAAUGGAAAAUGUAAAGGUAUGUGAGCUCUCCACUUUUGAGUUUCACAGUUUAAGUUGCUUCAAUUUCAUAAUUAAUAUGAUCCAUUGUGGAUAUGUGUGUGUUUGCAAAUCUGAACAGUGAAAGGUGUUUUUCACCCUCUAUUUGGUUGCCUUGCAAGUAAAAUUGACUUGUGGAGUUUUAUAAGAUUCAGUGCCAUUUGAUCAUUUUUUUUACUUGGGGCAUUACAAAAAAUGGUAUUAGUAUCCCACAUCUGUUCCAGUAAAUGUAAGAAAUAGUGAAUGCUAAAUUGCUUAAAGCUUUCUUGUAUCCCUGUUGGGCGACCAGUUCUGAACCCUGACUUGUGGAGUUUUAUAAGAUUCAGUGCCAGCAUGAUGAUUGAUGGCAUAAUUAAAAUUUUGAAGCCAUACAGCCUUUUGUUCAUACAAAAAUAUUGAACAUUUUGAGAAAAAAGCCAUCAAUCCACAUUUAGGACUCAAUUGAAAAAAAAAUAUGAUUGAAGCUUCUAUUUUUUUUACUUGCAGCAUUACGAAAAAUGGUAUUGGUAUCCCACAUCUAUUCCUGUAAAUGUAAGAAAUAGUGAAUGCUAAAUUGCUUAUAGCUUUCUUGUAAUGCUGUUGGGUGAUCAGUUCUGAACCUGAUGACACAUCUGGGUCAAUUCUUUAUGCAACCAACGUUUAAUGGAGCAAAAUGGAGCUGUUGCACUGGAUAUGAGGGCCGCUACUCCGUUUUAAGCCUACACAUUGGCAUCCUUAUUGGAUUUUAGCACAGUAGAAUAUUGUAUUUUUCAGUUUGGAAUUCAAAAGAUUUCCGUCAACUGGUUGACCAGAUGGAUUUCUGUAUGUAUAUUGCAAACAGUACUCAAGAGAUGUAGUUAAUCAUUGUUGUUGUUGUUGUUGUUAUGAUGUGUUCUUUUAAAAAAAAGAAAAAAAGAAAAAAAUGAAUACUCUCCAAGCUUCAGACUUGUUGUUACAAGAUGUAAAAGCAUUGUACAUCUUGAAUGUCGUGCUACACCAAAUCUUUAAUUAGUAAAGGAAUUUGAAUAAUGCUUUCUAUGCAAGUUAAUCAAAGACUUGAUGAGCCUCGGCAUAGAGACAUUAACCUUAUAAUAGCCUUAAAGUUUGAGGCGAGCCUAAACAUUUCUUAAUUAGCAUUCUCCUUAUGUGUCAGUUUACAAGGGUCUAUAAUUCUGGCUCUUUUUGACUUCUAAAAAAAUUAUGGACUUCAACAACUGUGAAUACUUUUAUUUACACUUUUGUGGAGGGGUGGGGGGAAAUGUGACUAGGGCUGGGUAUAGGGUUAUCCAACCUGCAAAUACCGCCCAAUCCGAACUGCCCACGCCUAUUUAGGCAGUUUCGCAGAAUUGUUAUGGACGGAUAUAGUUUAAGAUUUUCCUAUUUUGCAGGUCACGGGUGGGUCGCGGGUUUUACCCGUACACCCGCCUGCAUCUAUUUAUAAUUUUUUUUUUUAAAAAUCUGGACCAUUAGAUUUUUUUGUGAGUUUUGUAAGUGUGUAAUCCUAAUCUUCUCUUCUCCCACUCACUUUAAUCUGAUUAUCAAACCUGUAGGCUCUAACGUUAUAACAUUAUCAUAAUAUUAUGCACUGCCUUGUUUAAAAUACUUAUUAUUCAAUUGGAAUCUUUUCAAAUCUAGUUAUGUGAAUUUUUGUUUUUUUGUUUUUUUUCUAUGUUAGUUUUUAUUUAAUUUUCAUUUUAAUUUUUUGUAAUCCAAUUUUAAUGGAGGAUAGUGUUAAAUCUUCUACAAUCAAAAAUAUUUUUAAAAUUAAAAAGAAAAGCAAAUUUUUUUUUUAAAGGAAAAAACUCAAUCCGCAAACCGCAACUCGCAUUGCGGGCGGCUGCGGAUUCAAUUUUUCCAAAACUGCAAACAUGCAGGC